UGCAGUCGAGCGGAUGAAGGGAGCUUGCUCCCUGAUUCAGCGGCGGACGGGUGAGUAAUGCCUAGGAAUCUGCCUGGUAGUGGGGGACAACGUCUCGAAAGGGACGCUAAUACCGCAUACGUCCUACGGGAGAAAGCAGGGGACCUUCGGGCCUUGCGCUAUCAGAUGAGCCUAGGUCGGAUUAGCUAGUUGGUGAGGUAAUGGCUCACCAAGGCGACGAUCCGUAACUGGUCUGAGAGGAUGAUCAGUCACACUGGAACUGAGACACGGUCCAGACUCCUACGGGAGGCAGCAGUGGGGAAUAUUGGACAAUGGGCGAAAGCCUGAUCCAGCCAUGCCGCGUGUGUGAAGAAGGUCUUCGGAUUGUAAAGCACUUUAAGUUGGGAGGAAGGGUUGUAGAUUAAUACUCUGCAAUUUUGACGUUACCGACAGAAUAAGCACCGGCUAACUCUGUGCCAGCAGCCGCGGUAAUACAGAGGGUGCAAGCGUUAAUCGGAAUUACUGGGCGUAAAGCGCGCGUAGGUGGUUUGUUAAGUUGGAUGUGAAAUCCCCGGGCUCAACCUGGGAACUGCAUCCAAAACUGGCCAGCUAGAGUAGGGCA
This 601-nucleotide ribosomal RNA is filed under the name Pseudomonas sp. RNAcentral's name for it is "bacterial SSU rRNA". It matches the Rfam family "Bacterial small subunit ribosomal RNA", at positions 56 to 653 of the family's 1533-position model. The record is from RNAcentral. Lineage: Bacteria; Pseudomonadati; Pseudomonadota; Gammaproteobacteria; Pseudomonadales; Pseudomonadaceae.